ACUCAAAUGAAUUGACGGGGGCCCGCACAAGCGGCGGAGCAUGUUGCUUAAUUCGAUGCAACGCGAAGAACCUUACCUAGGCUUGACAUGUACGGAAAUCUCGCAGAGAUGCGGGGUGCCUUUGGCGUCGUGCACAGGUGGUGCAUGGUUGUCGUCAGCUCGUGUCGUGAGAUGUUGGGUUAAGUCCCGCAACGAGCGCAACCCUCGUUCUAUGUUGCCAGCGGAUUAUGCCGGGGACUCAUAGGAGACUGCCGGGGUCAACUCGGAGGAAGGUGGGGAUGACGUCAAAUCAUCAUGCCCCUUAUGUCUAGGGCUGCAAACAUGCUACAAUGGCCGGUACAAAGGGCUGCGAUACCGUGAGGUGGAGCGAAUCCCAAAAAGCCGGUCUCAGUUCGGAUUGGGGUCUGCAACUCGACCCCAUGAAGUUGGAGUCGCUAGUAAUCGCAGAUCAGCAACGCUGCGGUGAAUACGUUCCCGGGCCUUGCACACACCGCCCGU
RNAcentral lists this ribosomal RNA (498 nucleotides) under uncultured bacterium. RNAcentral describes it as "partial 16S ribosomal RNA". It matches the Rfam family "Bacterial small subunit ribosomal RNA", at positions 899 to 1397 of the family's 1533-position model. The record is from RNAcentral.